RNAcentral lists this ribosomal RNA (991 nucleotides) under uncultured eukaryote. RNAcentral's name for it is "SSU rRNA". It matches the Rfam family "Eukaryotic small subunit ribosomal RNA", at positions 121 to 1112 of the family's 1831-position model. The record is from RNAcentral.
UGGAUGUUAGCAGUUACUUGGAUAACUGAGGUAAUUCUUGAGCUAAUACAUGCGAAAAAUCCCGACUCACGAAGGGAUGCUUUUAUUAGAUCAAAACCAAACAGCUUCGGCUGUAACACUGGUGACUCUGAAUAACUUUGGGCUGAUCGCAUUGCCUUGAGCAGGCGACAUUUCCUUCGAAGGUGUGCCCUACCAACUGUCGACUGUGAUAUAGACGCUCACAGUGGUUUUGACGGGUAACGGGGAAUCAGGGUUCGAUUCCGGAGAGGGAGCCUUAAAAACGGCUACCACAUCCAAGGAAGGCAGCAGGCACACAAAUUACCCAAUGAACGAAGUUCGAGGUAGUGACGAAAAAUAACAAUACAAGACUCAUCCGAGGCCUUGUAAUUGGAAUGAGUACACUUUAAAACCGUUUCACGAGGAUCUAUUGGAGGGCAAGUCUGGUGCCAGCAGCCGCGGUAAUUCCAGCUCCAAUAGCGUAUAUUAAAGUUGUUGUGGUUAAAAAGCUCGUAGUUGGAUUUCGGCGGGUAUUGGUUGGUUUGAAUUGCUUCAACACUGACUUUUUUACCCGUGUGUUUUGCCAGAAUUUAGCGGGUGAUCUUCGCCGAUUGUCCGUUGGAACUGGUAGGUUUACAUUGAAAAAAUUAGAGUGCUCAAAGCAAGCUUACUGCUUGAAUAGUUGCGCAUGGAAUAAUAGAAUAGGAAGUCGUUUCUAUUUUGUUGGUUUUCGGAAAUCGACUUAAUGAUUAAUAGGGAUAGUCGGGGGCAUUCGUAUUCAAACGGCAGAGGUGAAAUUCUUGGACCGUUUGAAGACGAACUAAUGCGAAAGCAUUUGCCAAGAAUGUUUUCAUUAAUCAAGAACGAAAGUUAGAGGUUCGAAAGGCGAUUAGAUACCGCCCUAGUUCUAACCAUAAACGAUGCCAGCUAGCGAUCUGCCGGCGUUUAAUUUUCUGACUUGGCAGGAGCUUCCGGGAAACCAAAGCUUGUGGGU